GGGUCAGUAGGUUGGUCGUGCCACCGGUACGUACUGGUCUCACUGAUUCCUCCUUCCUGAAUAACCGUAAUGCCAUUAAUUUGGUGUUGCGGGGAAACAGGACUGUUACUUUGAAAAAAUUAGAGUGUUUAAAGCAGGCUAACGCUUGAAUACAUUAGCAUGGAAUAAUGAAAUAGGACGAUCGAUCCUAUUUUGUUGGUUUCUAGGAUUGACGUA
Molecule: ribosomal RNA, 216 nt
Filed under: Glomeromycotina sp.
Lineage: Eukaryota; Fungi; Glomeromycota
Description: partial small subunit ribosomal RNA
Rfam family: Eukaryotic small subunit ribosomal RNA (bases 40-216)
Source: RNAcentral